Molecule: non-coding RNA, 2780 nt
Organism: Solanum lycopersicum (tomato)
Lineage: Eukaryota; Viridiplantae; Streptophyta; Magnoliopsida; Solanales; Solanaceae
Source: RefSeq, a predicted model, not a curated record
UUAGAAGACACAGUUGAGAGGGACGAACACAGCAAAACAAAUUUGUACCAAAAGCAAGUUUAAUUGUACACCUUUAUUUUCAUAAAAUGUAUGUAUUGUAAUAUUUUAACAAGUGUAACUUUCUUUCUCUGCAUAAUACAUCUGUACUAUAUUUACCCAUCUAAACCCUAUUACUGAAGAAGAAUCGACCAUUUAUUUCUCUCAAAGCCGGUGAAAGAGAAUUAAAAAUUUCUUCCUAUUCAGAUUUGUUAAUGCUUUUUUGGUCCAAACAUAUUUCAAUCCAGAUGAACACUGGCAAGCCCUUGAAGUUGCUCAUCGAAUCUCAUUUGGAUGUGGACAUUUGACGUAGAAAUGGGAAAAGGGAAUAAGGAGUUAUCUUCAUCCAGUGAUAUUUGUUGGAUUGUAUAAAGUUCUUGCCCUUUUUCAUCUUGACAAACCUUGUUUCAUGGUAAGAAUUGUAUAUCCUGGUUCCCUACCUAAUGUAUCAAAUAAUGGUAGAGAAGCAGCUUCAAAGGCAAGGUAUGAUUAUACAUUUAAUGGCUUAUGUGAGCAAUUUUUUUUGACAUGUUCGAAACUACCUUAUUCUGCUUCUUUUUGUAAUUUAAUUCUGUCACUUUUCUUCUCAGAUGAACUUUGUUUUAACAACAUGAACACGAUAAUUAUUUGUAGAUGUCUACAUCUUUAUGAGUUUGACAUUUGUUGAAGAACUUUUCUUUCAGAUUAUGAAAUUUUAGUAUAUAUUUUGACCUUAUAGUCUAAACUGAAAAGACGCUGAUAUUUUAUAUUUAGACGAAAACAUUUUUAUGUUUAAGCAAACUUGAUUCAAAUCCUUUUUAAUCAUCUAGUUUUUUCCAUCUUAAAUAUUGUUCACCGUGAAUAAAGUACUGACAAUUGAAUGCAUUGAUGAAGCACCGAUAUUUUUCUUAAUUGUCUUCCACAAUUUUUCUUGGAUUCUUGUGAGUUCUAACAGAUGUCUCUUAAAAUACAUUCAUAAUUUUGUUGUCAAUAUUAUGCAGGUCUAGCUCUAAAAUACUAAAAAUUAGUAGUAUUUUCUUAUAAAUAUAUGAUACUUUUUGUAGAUAAGUAAUGGCUUGAUGUGGUCACAUGUUUGACGAAUUUUCCCAAUGAAGAUAUGACUUGUGUAUUAUGAAGAGAGAUUAGUUACAAGAGUUGUUUAUGUUGGUGGAAUGAAGUUGAACGGUGGGCUUAGAGAAUAGACAUUUUCCACUAAUAUCUGUUUUUCAUAUGGUAUUUUUCCUCAAUAAAAUGAGUAAUUUUUAUAUGUUAAAGGUUUCUGCUUUGGAGUGAUUUUAUUUUCCUGUGAUGUCACAACUUUAAGGUAAUUAUUAAGAAAGAAUCUGAGUUGCCGAAUUUUUUGAUGCUGCCAUGAAAUAAGAAGUUAUAUGGUAAUGCUAAAAAUUCAGGGUAAUCUUUCACUAUUGAUCUUUUUGUUGGUUGAAGUUGAACUACAUUUUCGAAAAAAUUUAGCUACUAAUAUAGUUAGCUGAGGUGGUUUUCAAAAAAAAUUAUUUUAAAUUACAAAGUCAGAAAUAACAAACAGGUUGAAUCAGGCGAAAAUGUUGAUUUCCAGGCUCUCCAAUCUCCAAGUCCUCUAAGGUACCAUUCCCAUUUUCUUAAGAAGCUUUAAACUUUUUAGUUGUUUUCUUUUGACAACUGAAUUUUUUCGCUAUUCUGUGUUAUUUAUUGAUAAUGACCCUUGAUGUUGGCGUUGAUUUAUUUUUUAGCAGUUCUUGGAUAAGAGCUGAAACAUUAAUAUUGAAAAUUCUAUUACUACAUUGAGUUCUACAAGUCUGUCAUAUGAUCUUAUACUUUCUCAAAGUUUCUGCCUCAUGUGUUCAUAUUAGUUAAGAUGCAAUUAAUGAUGUUAGAAAUUUUUUUCAUCUGAUCAAUAAAAAAACGAAAAUAAGAAAUCUAGCAAAUAAGUAACAAUGUUGAUGCUAGAAUUUUUUUUUUGAGAGAUGAGAGUAAUAAAAUGUCCACUUAAUGGAAGAAUCCUAUAAGACUAACACUUUUCUUUAAUCUCGAGUUUGUUGCUCAAGAGUAGCUACUAUUCAAGUUGCUUCUGAUAACUCUAGAUGAGUUCACAAAACAAAGAAUUAAUAAUGACGAUUUCAAGUACUAAAUUAGAUAGUUCAAUUUGAAAAUAUUGUCUGAAAUCCACAAAACAAAUCCGCUAUGAAAUUCUUAUCAUUGAAUACAAUUUACAGAUUGUCGUUUAAUUCUUUUUCUCUCAAUCUGUUUGAGGGAUAAGGGGAUGAAAUACAGAGAACAACCCAUAUUGAAACAAAGUUUGUUGUUUUGCAGCUAAUGUCUGUUGAGUUUCCGUGCUUGACGUUAUUUCAAUUUAUUUUACUAUUCAUGAAUAUGAAUAAGAUAAUUUUCUAGAUUUAUAUUAGAAAGUAUUCGACCUACUAAUAAUUAUUUGUGUUCGACAAAUGUUCGAUAGAACUUUGAGUGCAUCACUGAUGAAAAUAAGUAGAAUGUUUAUGGUACUUAUAUGUAGGUAUCUGCUUAUGGGAAGAGGAAAAUCACGACUCACAAAAAUGCAAGUGAUAUGAUUAAGCUCAGUAGAAUUGUUGUCGCAAAACAGAUAAGACAUGCUCCAUUUGCUACUUACCAUAGACACAACUAUGAUCACCUCCGUUCAUCAUCUUUGUCAUUUACCUAGAAGAUUAGAAGCAACUUUCGAAAUCUUCAGGAAAUCUGUCCAAAGUUGAAUGCAUAGAUUUUGAGUGAAGAAAUGUAGAAGAGACCACCUA